Molecule: ribosomal RNA, 403 nt
Filed under: Pseudomonas sp. U111
Lineage: Bacteria; Pseudomonadati; Pseudomonadota; Gammaproteobacteria; Pseudomonadales; Pseudomonadaceae
Description: bacterial SSU rRNA
Rfam family: Bacterial small subunit ribosomal RNA
Source: RNAcentral
GCCUACCAUGCAAGUUCGAGCGGAUGAGAGGAGCUUGCUCCUUGAUUUAGCGGCGGACGGGUGAGUAAUGCCUAGGAAUCUGCCUGGUAGUGGGGGAUAACGUCCGGAAACGGGCGCUAAUACCGCAUACGUCCUACGGGAGAAAGCAGGGGACCUUCGGGCCUUGCGCUAUCAGAUGAGCCUAGGUCGGAUUAGCUAGUUGGUGAGGUAAUGGCUCACCAAGGCGACGAUCCGUAACUGGUCUGAGAGGAUGAUCAGUCACACUGGAACUGAGACACGGUCCAGACUCCUACGGGAGGCAGCAGUGGGGAAUAUUGGACAAUGGGCGAAAGCCUGAUCCAGCCAUGCCGCGUGUGUGAAGAAGGUCUUCGGAUUGUAAAGCACUUUAAGUUGGGAGGAAGGG